GGGCUCGUAGCUCAGCUGGGAGAGCGCCGCGUUCGCAACGCGGAGGUCAGGAGUUCGAUCCUCCCCGGGUCCACCA
This 76-nucleotide transfer RNA is filed under the name Ruminiclostridium sp. RNAcentral describes it as "tRNA-Ala". It matches the Rfam family "tRNA". From Rfam's summary of the family: Transfer RNA (tRNA) molecules are approximately 80 nucleotides in length. Lineage: Bacteria; Bacillati; Bacillota; Clostridia; Eubacteriales; Oscillospiraceae. RNAcentral also lists the same sequence under 2 other names. The record is from RNAcentral.